UGGGGAAUAUUGGACAAUGGGCGAAAGCCUGAUCCAGCCAUGCCGCGUGAACGAUGAAGGCCUUAGGGUUGUAAAGUUCUUUUGUCAGGGAAGAUAAUGACGGUACCUGAAGAAUAAGCACCGGCUAACUUCGUGCCAGCAGCCGCGGUAAUACGAAGGGUGCUAGCGUUGUUCGGAAUCACUGGGCGUAAAGGGCGCGUAGGCGGCCCUGUAAGCCAAAGGUGAAAUCCCUCGGCUCAACUUAGGAACUGCCUUUGGAACUGCAUGGCUUGAGGCCGGGAGGGGGUAGCGGAAUUCCCAGUGUAGCGGUGAAAUGCGUAGAUACUGGGAGGAACACCGGUGGCGAAGGCGGCUACCUGGACCGGCUCUGACGCUGAUGCGCGAAAGCGUGGGGAGCAAACAGGAUUAGAUACCCGUAGUCCCUGAGCGGGCUGGCAAGGCGCAU
Molecule: ribosomal RNA, 445 nt
Filed under: uncultured bacterium
Lineage: Bacteria
Description: bacterial SSU rRNA
Rfam family: Bacterial small subunit ribosomal RNA
Source: RNAcentral